This 117-nucleotide ribozyme is filed under the name Aedes aegypti (yellow fever mosquito). RNAcentral describes it as "drz-agam-1 ribozyme". It matches the Rfam family "drz-agam-1 ribozyme". Lineage: Eukaryota; Metazoa; Arthropoda; Insecta; Diptera; Culicidae. The record is from Rfam by way of RNAcentral.
UGCCCAGCAACUCCUAUCCUUAGCUCCUCGCGCUAGUGGCCGGGGUACGAGUAACCUUAGGGAAGAUCGGGUAAUUAACCCCCGGUAGGAACUUUGGUCGUAUGCUGACAGGGAAGG